CCCCCCGUUUGAUGUUCUGUUUUGUCUUCUGUUGUAGGAAACGGUUCGCCAAAACCGUCGGUUGCUUCGAACACACCCAAUCUACCACAGAAUUUCAAAGCGGAACUGAUAACGGGUUUUUCG
Molecule: small RNA, 123 nt
Filed under: Photobacterium ganghwense
Lineage: Bacteria; Pseudomonadati; Pseudomonadota; Gammaproteobacteria; Vibrionales; Vibrionaceae
Description: MtlS RNA
Rfam family: MtlS RNA
Source: Rfam by way of RNAcentral